Molecule: non-coding RNA, 21 nt
Filed under: Caenorhabditis elegans
Lineage: Eukaryota; Metazoa; Nematoda; Chromadorea; Rhabditida; Rhabditidae
Source: RNAcentral
UGCUCGUCUAAUUUGGUAAGA